GUGCCAGCCGCCGCGGUAAUACAGAGGCCUCAAGCGUUGUUCGGAAUCACUGGGCGUAAAGGGUGCGUAGGCGGCGCGGAAAGUCAGGGGUGAAAUCCCGGAGCUCAACUCCGGAACUGCCUUUGAUACUCCCGCGCUUGAGAACUGGAGGGGACAUCGGAAUUCACGGUGGAGCAGUGAAAUGCGUGGAUAUCGUGAGGAACACUAGUGGCGAAGGCGGAUGUCUGGACAGUAUCUGACGCUGAGGCACGAAGGCCAGGGGAGCGAACGGGAUUAGAUACCCCCGUAGUCC
This 292-nucleotide ribosomal RNA is filed under the name uncultured bacterium. Its description in RNAcentral is "partial 16S ribosomal RNA". It matches the Rfam family "Bacterial small subunit ribosomal RNA", at positions 505 to 796 of the family's 1533-position model. The record is from RNAcentral.